Nerophis ophidion (straightnose pipefish) is the source of this 349-nucleotide long non-coding RNA. RefSeq lists it as uncharacterized. The transcript is spliced from 3 exons. The record is from RefSeq and is a predicted model, not a curated record. NCBI's taxonomy places the organism in Eukaryota, Metazoa, Chordata, Actinopteri, Syngnathiformes, Syngnathidae.
UGUUUGCGCUACAUAACUGACGAGGUCUUCUAUUUGCGUCCAUGCAACUCGCUACGUUAAGUAUUUUCAACGAUCUUUGACUCCUGUGCUAAGCUCCAGUGCUGUCGGUCUUUUAGUAUUUUUGCAUGAUUUCAUGGACAAUAAAUCACUGAACAAUGCAACCCGGUCGUUACACCAACGUCUUUAUAGCUUGCCUCGCGGGUUUCCAUGGUUACCUCCAUCCAUGCGUCUCACCUGUUCUCAAUUGUCUCCUGGGAUUGACAGGUUCUCCCUCGCCUCUGCUGUCCUUUCUGCACCUCCUUCAUGUCCUCGAACACCUCGCUAUCCAUGCCCCUUGGUUCGGUCCAAG